GUAGGUGGCAAGCGUUGUCCGGAAUUAUUGGGCGUAAAGCGCGCGCAGGCGGUUCUUUAAGUCUGAUGUGAAAGCCCACGGCUCAACCGUGGAGGGUCAUUGGAAACUGGAGAACUUGUGUACAGAAGAGGAAAGCGGAAUUCCACGUGUAGCGGUGAAAUGCGUAGAGAUGUGGAGGAACACCAGUGGCGAAGGCGGCUUUCUGGUCUGUAACUGACGCUGAGGCGCGAAAGCGUGGGGAGCAAACAGGGAUUAGAUACCCUGGUAGUCCACGCCGUAAACGAUGAGUGCUAAGUGUUAGGGGGGUUUCCGCCCCCUUAGUGCUGCAGCUAACGCAUUAAGCACUCCGCCUGGGGAGUACGGCCGCAAGGCUG
This 374-nucleotide ribosomal RNA is filed under the name uncultured organism. RNAcentral describes it as "partial 16S ribosomal RNA". It matches the Rfam family "Bacterial small subunit ribosomal RNA", at positions 527 to 896 of the family's 1533-position model. The record is from RNAcentral.